UCAAAAUCUCAAGCCUGGCUUGGUGUUGGGCUCUCGCUCCUCUCCCACAAGUGUAGGGGGUUAUGGGGGGGCGUGCCUGAAAAUCAUCGGCGGUGCCUCGAUGGCCUCAAGCGUAGUGGACUACUCGCGCUUUGGAGCGUCCGUCGUAGGCUCACUAGCCUGGAUGUGUCAUUAUAAAAGAA
This 182-nucleotide unclassified non-coding RNA is filed under the name uncultured eukaryote. RNAcentral's name for it is "partial internal transcribed spacer 2". The record is from RNAcentral.